Molecule: transfer RNA, 71 nt
Filed under: Ilumatobacteraceae bacterium
Lineage: Bacteria; Bacillati; Actinomycetota; Acidimicrobiia; Acidimicrobiales; Ilumatobacteraceae
Also listed under: 1 other name
Description: tRNA-Gln
Rfam family: tRNA
About the family: Transfer RNA (tRNA) molecules are approximately 80 nucleotides in length. Their secondary structure includes four short double-helical elements and three loops (D, anti-codon, and T loops).
Source: RNAcentral
UCCGGGGUCGUUCAAUGGUAGGACAUCGGUUUUUGGUGCCGUCUAUAGGGGUUCGAAUCCUCUCCCCGGAA